AUGGCCAUACCAUGCUGAAUAUACCGGUUCUCGUUAGAUCACCGAAGUCAAGCAUCAUUGGGCGCGGUCAGUACUUGGGUGUGGGAACACC
RNAcentral lists this ribosomal RNA (91 nucleotides) under Caerostris darwini. Lineage: Eukaryota; Metazoa; Arthropoda; Arachnida; Araneae; Araneidae. The record is from RNAcentral.